Molecule: long non-coding RNA, 2760 nt
Filed under: Helianthus annuus (common sunflower)
Lineage: Eukaryota; Viridiplantae; Streptophyta; Magnoliopsida; Asterales; Asteraceae
Description: hypothetical non coding rna
Source: RNAcentral
GGUGGGUGUUCGAUCAGAGAAGAGAAAGAAGGGGGAAACCCCUUCUCAAACCCUAAAUCAGAAAAUUGGAAUAGAAAUCAAGGCUAAAUCUUAUGCAUGGACCUGGAUAUAUGAUCAUCUAGCCUUGCUAAACAUGUGUAAGUAUGAGGAGGUGUUAGAAUCAACAAAUAAAGCUUAGAUUAUGAACGGUUCUGAGUAAUUCGAUGUUUAGUGGCGAAACCACCAUUGAUGGUGAGAGUGGCGACAUGGGUAUGUCACCCAUGUCCAACCUUUGUUCAAAUCCUUGGUAGAUUAUGUUAUGUGUAAUCAAUUUUUGUUAGUUAUGUUGAAUAUGGUAUGAAGUUGAAUUGAUAUUUUGUAUGUUGGAUGAUUAAAAACAAGAACUAGGAAGAAAAAGUAGGAAGAAUACUUGUACAUUAUGUUUGAAAACUUGUAUGCGCGCCAAGUGUUUGAUGAAAUGACUAGAUGAAGUUAGAAGGUGAAAUUGCAUGCAAGAAAGUGGUAAUUAGAUAUAGAACGUGACAAAGAGGUGUUUGAUAGUAAACUAACAUGAGAAGUGCGUUUAGAUAGAGUUUGUUGCUAAGUAUGGAUCAUGGUGCAAGUGUAGAAUUAUGGAGGUUUCUAGUGUGGUUAGUACAUGUAAUUAUGUGAUUAUGUGGUUAAAUGAGUAUUUCACUAUGAGUAUGCUAUAUGCUUGUUGAAAUGAUUAUUGGAAGCCGAAUGUGAAAUGUAAAUUAAUAUGGUCGUUCUUAUGUAUAAUUUCGUAUGCUAACAAGAACGUGGAUGUAAUGAAAUGAAAGUAUAGGGAAUCAUGUCAAGAUGAGUGAAAGCAUGAGAGGCUAACGGAUUAAGAGGACAUGAGGAAGCAAAUGUAAAUACGGAAUGCAUAAGGUAAGUGAUUUCCGUAAUCACUUCUUAUUUUAUUUAAGUAAAGUAGUGUUAGUCAAUUAAGCAUGAUGUUGUUUGAAGUUUCAUAUGGUUUUGGUUGUAUGAAAUCGGUAAUUUUAGCUUAGUAGACCGAAUGGGACAAUAUAAAGUUGUAAUGAUAUGACGAUUAAUGUCUAAGUAAUGGCUACGGUAUGUAACCGGGUAAUGGGUAAAAUUGCACAUAAGUGCACCAACCGAGAAUGGGGACUUAGGUUAAUGGGUCAAAGUGAAGGUAUGCUUUAGCACGGAACGUUUGUACAAGUAACGACGAUAGUAUUACAUGUGCCCGGUUAGUAUAAGGUGUUAUAACAUUACCAUUAUGUGAGCCUUAAGUGUAAACAUAUGAGUUGCUUGAUAAAGUCAUGAAUGGGUCGAAUAAUUCGUAGAUGAAUAAUAAGCCGAAGACGUAUAAGUUAAGAAUUUCCUUAACCCGGAUGUUGGAUUUCAAGUUCACAUGAUAGAAUAUUAAUUUACAAUCAUGUAGGAAGAAACGUGACGCAAAACGGAUGAAAAAUGAGAGAGUUAUGUCCGUUUCGGUAAGAAUUAAUGGCUAGGAAAAGUGCAGAGCUGACACGGCCGGGUGGUGAGCUGACACGGCCGGGUGAAGGUUCUGUGAAAAAUAUCAUUUAUGCGAUUUAUGCAUCGUAGGCUUCGGUAUAUUAUCCGUGGACUACGGUGGGCCUCCCAAACAUGAUUUCGAGUGUUUCCUUGACGAUUAUAAGUUGUAAACCCAAGUCUAAGCCUCAUGUAAUUUAUAUAAGAGUAUGAUAGAUGUAUGUAAUGAAGUUGGACAUGUAUUACAUGUAAAUGGUAUACAAGAAUGCGUACGGAACACGUAGGUAUGAAUACAUGAUUGUAGGUAUGAUUGGAUGUAUAUAGGUAUGUAGAUGUGUAUGAUUGUAAGUAUGUAUGUGUGCAAGUAUGUGCGAAUGAGGUUUUCAGUAUGUGUAUCGAUGAAUACUAAUAAUGUGCUUGAGAUUUGAAGGUAAUGCAGGAAUGAGAAUGUAGAGUUCAUGAAGAUUGAAGUCGAACUUGGAACUAUAAACUAUGAGGAGAUGAUUGAGCGAACCCAAGUUCUUAGUGAAUUAUGAACUGAUUUUUAACUAUAUAGAGUUAUGUUUUAUGGUGUUGCUUGUGACUAACAGUUUAGUUGUUUCUGGUUUCCACAGGAAUUGUACGGGCCUCUCUCUCUCUCUCUGUGACUAAUAUAACCAAGUGAGCGUAGAUCGAGUCAAGUGCAAGGAUUGUACAAAAAGAACGGUUACGUAGUCUUAAUUUUGUAACGCAUUAAAUUGUAAAUGGAAGUGAAUUUUGUAAGCUUCUUCAUGAAUGUGUGUAUUGUUAUAAGAUCAUAAAGAAAAUUUUAAAGCUAUUUUUCCGCUGCGUUAUCUUUAAGUUCUUACACGAUGAUCUUACAGGGAAUUGUUCUUAUUACGAACGGGUCAUGCCCGAAUUUUUUUAAAUAAUAGUAUGGUAAUAUUACUUUUCGGAUUAAGAAAUAUGGGCGUUACAAGUUGGUAUCAGAGCGAUGGUUUGAGGGAAAUCAAGUAUGUGGAGGUAAAUACUUGAACUCAAACCAGAGUGCUCUUGUGACAAGGAACCCGUACAAUCCAAGACUCGAUCAAAAUAUAAAGGUAGAAGCUAAUGUAAGUGUGUAUUUACGCAUGUAUAUUAAGAAAAACUAACAGUAUGUUAUGUGAAGGGUAAGCAUAGUUGUUGGAGAGGAUGAUCCGCGAGUACGGUCUUGGACCGACACCAAGGCACGUAGUAAGAUAAAUUGAUUCCAGGUACGUAUAUUUAAUAUGUGUAAGUACAUGUAAUGGUAAAAUCUAG